UUUCCGGUUGAUCCCGCCGGACCCGACUGCUAUCAGAGUGAGAUUAAGCCAUGCGAGUCAACGUAGCAAUACGUGGCACACGGCUCAGCAACACGUAGUCAACAUAACCAAAGGAUGUGGAUAAACUCGGGAAACUGAGGCUAAACCGCGAUAGACCAAGAUACCUGGAAUGGUUUUUGAUUAAAAUCUAUAUGGCCUUUGGAUUGGACUGCGACCGAUCAGGCUGUUGGUGAGGUAAUGGCCCACCAAACCUGUAACCGGUACGGGCUCUGAGAGGAGGAGCCCGGAGAUGGGUACUGAGACAAGGACCCAGGCCCUAUGGGGCGCAGCAGGCGCGAAACCUCUGCAAUAGGCGAAAGCCUGACAGGGUUAUUCUGAGUGACUUUCGCUAAGAAAGUCUUUUGACACCUCUAAAAAUGGUGUAGAAUAAGGGGUGGGCAAGUCUGGUGUCAGCCGCCGCGGUAAUACCAGCACCCCGAGUGGUCGGGACGAUUAUUGGGCCUAAAGCAUCCGUAGCCGGUUUUACAAGUCCUCCGUUAAAUCCAACUGCUUAACAGAUGGGCCGCGGAGGAUACUAUAAGACUAGGAGGCAGGAGAGGCAAGCGGUACUCAGUGGGUAGGGGUAAAAUCCGUUGAUCCAUUGAAGACCACCAGUGGCGAAGGCGGCUUGCCAGAAUGCGCUCGACGGUGAGGGAUGAAAGCUGGGGGAGCAAACCGGAUUAGAUACCCGGGUAGUCCCAGCUGUAAACGAUGCAGACUCGGUGAUGGACUAGCUUCAUGCUAGUCCAGUGCCGCAGGGAAGCCGUUAAGUCUGCCGCCUGGGGAGUACGGUCGCAAGACUGAAACUUAAAGGAAUUGGCGGGGGAGCACCACAAGGGGUGAAGCCUGCGGUUCAAUUGGAGUCAACGCCGGA
RNAcentral lists this ribosomal RNA (913 nucleotides) under uncultured archaeon. RNAcentral describes it as "bacterial SSU rRNA". It matches the Rfam family "Archaeal small subunit ribosomal RNA", at positions 1 to 922 of the family's 1478-position model. The record is from RNAcentral.